This 143-nucleotide small nuclear RNA is filed under the name Solanum tuberosum (potato). RNAcentral's name for it is "snRNA U1". The record is from RNAcentral. Lineage: Eukaryota; Viridiplantae; Streptophyta; Magnoliopsida; Solanales; Solanaceae.
UUACAUAAAUAAUUUAGGUUGGUGAGUGAUCAGUAAGGCCAUGGCCUAGGUUGAUGACUUCCAUUUCACUUUGGAGUGUGGUUUGCUUAAGAUCGACCCAAGUCAUUAAACUUACGUCAUAAUUUGUGACAAUAGGGCCCUAG